Molecule: non-coding RNA, 49 nt
Filed under: Trichobilharzia regenti
Lineage: Eukaryota; Metazoa; Platyhelminthes; Trematoda; Strigeidida; Schistosomatidae
Source: RNAcentral
AUCCAGCUGGGAGACGAGUCUGCAAUAGGACGAAAUGCGCAUCCUGGAU